UGUCCGCAAUGGUCGAAAGCCUGACGGAGCAAAACCGCGUGACCGAGGAAGCCUCUUGGGUUGUAUACCUCUUGGCUCAAGGAAGAAUGAUGACGGUACUUGAGGAAUCAGCAUCGGCUAACUCCGUGCCAGCAGCCGCGGUAAUACGGAGGAUGCAAGCGUUAUCCGGAAUGAUUGGGCGUAAAGCGUCCGUAGGUGGCUGUGUGUGUCUAGUGUUAAAGAGUUUGGCUCAACCAAAUAAGGGCGGUAGAACCUACACAGCUAGAGUGCGUUCGGGGCAGAGGGAAUUCCUGGUGUAGCGGUGAAAUGCGUAGAGAUCAGGCCCAACACCGGUGGCGAAAGCGCUCUGCUAGGCCGCUACUGACACUGAGCCACGAAAGCUAGGGGA
This 388-nucleotide ribosomal RNA is filed under the name uncultured Hapalosiphon sp. RNAcentral's name for it is "bacterial SSU rRNA". It matches the Rfam family "Bacterial small subunit ribosomal RNA", at positions 363 to 767 of the family's 1533-position model. Lineage: Bacteria; Bacillati; Cyanobacteriota; Cyanophyceae; Nostocales; Hapalosiphonaceae. The record is from RNAcentral.